UACAGCAAAUGUAACGCAGUGAAUAUUUGGCUGUGGGCGUUUCAUCCUUUUAACUGCUCCCAGAAUUCUGAGCAAGAGGAAGGGUCAGAUGGUGAUGGAGUGUAAGAAUCCAGAAAUACCAUUUUAAAACCUGCAUGGUCUUUUCCCAAGAUGAAACUGUGACAGCCAUCAAAUCAGGUGGGAAACAGAAGGAAGAGAAGUACUAAGAAAAAAGAAGACAAACUCUCCUACUAAUACAGUGUUUAACUAAGGAUGGAGGCAUGUGGCUGUAAUGAAACCUGGGCCCUCAAAAUUACAUUCCUUACAGCACACAUAUUAGCCUGUCAGUCUUCUGAGUUCAGCAAUAUCUAUAUUUCUUUUUCCCAAAUUGUGAACCUGAAAGCCAAGAAAUGACUAGGUGAUGCUGGGCAGACCCUAAUAACUAGUCUUUUGAGCAAUCUGGGGUUGGUUUGCCACUGCUGGCUCAGCUCAGUACCAGACUUGAAAUGUAUGGUACCACACAGAGUCCUGCCAACACUACCCUGAUGGACAACGCCCAGCUUGAAUGUGUCCUAGUGAGAUUUUGGAAGGCUUCAGUGUGUUUUCAGCCCCGGAAGUCACGAAAGCUUUACCAAAUUAGUUCUGCCUACUUGAAGGUUCAUGUAGAUUCCAGUGACAGAGGGCUGGGUAAUUGGUCGUAAGUUUGGUUCCCCGGAGCCUCCCCACCACCAAAAUCAAAUUCGACUGACAGGAUCCAAACAAAUUCGAAAGGACACAGCAACACAACAAUGUCACAUUUUGAAACAUCUUUGGGGAAAAAUAAAAAGCAAUUUGAGCCUCUGUUU
This is a long non-coding RNA of Cavia porcellus (domestic guinea pig), 824 nucleotides long. RefSeq lists it as uncharacterized. The record is from RefSeq and is a predicted model, not a curated record. Lineage: Eukaryota; Metazoa; Chordata; Mammalia; Rodentia; Caviidae. The transcript is spliced from 3 exons.